RNAcentral lists this ribosomal RNA (431 nucleotides) under uncultured bacterium. Its description in RNAcentral is "partial 16S ribosomal RNA". It matches the Rfam family "Bacterial small subunit ribosomal RNA", at positions 29 to 507 of the family's 1533-position model. The record is from RNAcentral.
AACGAACGCUGGCGGCAGGCCUAACACAUGCAAGUCGAGCGCCCUUUCGGGGGAGCGGCGGACGGGUGAGUAACGCGUGGGAAUAUGCCCUUCUCUACGGAAUAGCCUCGGGAAACUGAGAGUAAUACCGUAUACGCCCUGUGGGGGAAAGAUUUAUCGGGGAAGGAUUAGCCCGCGUUGGAUUAGGUAGUUGGUGGGGUAAUGGCCUACCAAGCCGACGAUCCAUAGCUGGGUUGAGAGGAUGAUCAGCCACACUGGGACUGAGACACGGCCCAGACUCCUACGGGAGGCAGCAGUGGGGAAUCUUAGACAAUGGGGGCAACCCUGAUCGAGCCAUGCCGCGUGAGUGAUGAAGGCCUUAGGGUUGUAAAGCUCUUUAAGCUGGGAAGAUAAUGACGGUACCAGCAGAAGAAGCCCCGGCUAACUCCGUG